Molecule: long non-coding RNA, 3481 nt
Filed under: Salmo salar (Atlantic salmon)
Lineage: Eukaryota; Metazoa; Chordata; Actinopteri; Salmoniformes; Salmonidae
Description: lncRNA (ENSSSAG00000093688.1)
Source: RNAcentral
CCAGCCUACAGUAUAGUCCCUGAGUGAGCUAGCAGACUGUAAACCCAGCCUACAGUAUAGUCCCUGAGUGAGCUAGCAGACUGUAAACCCAGCCUACAGUAUAGUCCCUGAGUGAGCUAGCAGACUGUAAACCCAGCCUACAGAGGAUAUACGGUACACCACCACUGACCAACCAUAGCAACUAUACCUGUCAGUCUCAUGAUAUACAACCUGGUGUUGAUGACUUACAGCUUGUACAGAUAAUCAGAUGUUUAAUGUGCUCCAGAGUAGACCAGAGUUAGGAGAGUAGUGUUGUAUGUAAAUAUAUUUUUAUGGCACAGGCUUUAUGCAAAAGACGCUUUACAUACCAAGAUGAAAUUAUUUUUUAAAAGGAUGGAUGGGCACAACUAAGUUUGUUAAUUUGUGUUUUUAAAAAGUUUCUAGAAGCGAAGAAGCAGGGUGUUCCAUGAUGUCAUAUCCUGUGUUUAAAUCGAUUGGUUGCUUACUGUGUAAUCUGCAUUGCCAUUGGCUAGUUAUGACUGGUUAAUCAUGUUGUUGUUCUAAAAAUGGCCGAACUUUGUUUUUGUCAUGAUUUUGUAUUUGUCGUUGAUAUAUUUUGGAUGUGGGUUCUCAGUGUAGUGCAUUAUGAAGGGGAAUAGGGUGCAGCAGCCUUGAACCACUUCACAUGUAGUCAAACAGUAGUCAAACAAACCAAACAGACUAAAAGAUGAAGCACAUUCAUACUGUACCAUUGACAUCAACGUCUCACUGAAACUAACUGGUGGACCAAGUUAGAGCUGUCACCUGUUAGGCUUUGGCUUGACUAAGUGCCAAUACACAGUAGAGCUGAAGUUGAACAUCUUCUCAUUUUUAUACAAGAAAUAAACCAUUUGCCUUCAUUUUUCCAUCGUGAGUCCAGAAAUAGUACAUAUGUGGAUAGAUGAAUCAGGGUUCUGUUAAUCUGAAAUGUAACCACUUUAGCUCAAUGCUAAUAGUAUAGAAUCUUUGCUGGUAUGUGUUAUGCCAUAAUUGUUUUUCUGUAUAAUUUUUUUAAACCGUUAAUUUCAAAAUGGCUCUUAUUGUCAUUGUAGACCAUUGCCUGUGUGUGAAACAUGAGACUAGAUAUUGAAAAGAGAAAUGCUAAAAUGAUCAUUACAUAUGUAUAUAAUUGAAUGGUACUUUUGUAAAUCAUUGAGCUGUGAACCACCAUGACUUGUGGAGCUGGUCUACAGGACAGGUACUGCCUUCUCUGUCAAUUCUUCUGAAACCGUUUCAAUGGAUUUCAAACAUCAUCCUUAAAUCAUUUGCCAAAUAGUUUUCACGUCGUCAUCAGCUCGUUUGUUUUAUCUGCUAUGCAACUGCUUCAUCAUUUUGAAUCACUCCUCAAAUAUAUUUUAAUACUAAACCAAUGUGUUGAUGUGUUGUCAUCCUGAAGCUAUAGGGGGUAGAUGAAUAGAAUUUAUAUAUGGUACAUGAUGUGUUGUCAUCCUGAAGCUAUAGGGGGGGUAGAUGAAUAUAAUUUAUAUAUGGUACAUGGUGUGUUGUCAUCCUGAAGCUAUAGGGGGUAGAUGAAUAGAAUGUAUAUAUGGUACAUGAUGUGUUGUCAUCCUGAAGCUAUAGGGGGGUAGAUGAAUAUAAUUUAUAUAUGGUACAUGAUGUGUUGUCAUCCUGAAGCUAUAGGGGGGUAGAUGAAUAUAAUUUAUAUAUGGUACAUGAUGUGAUGUCAUCCUGAAGCUAUAGGGGGGUAGAUGAAUAGAAUUUAUAUAUGGUACAUGAUGUGUUGUCAUCCUGAAGCUAUAGGGGGUAGAUGAAUAGAAUGUAUAUAUGGUACAUGAUGUGUUGUCAUCCUGAAGCUAUAGGGGGGUAGAUGAAUAGAAUGUAUAUAUGGUACAUGAUGUGUUGUCAUCCUGAAGCUAUAGGGGGGUAGAUGAAUAGAAUGUAUAUAUGGUACAUGAUGUGUUGUCAUCCUGAAGCUAUAGGGGGGUAGAUGAAUAUAAUUUAUAUAUGGUACAUGAUGUGUUGUCAUCCUGAAGCUAUAGGGGGUAGAUUAAUAUAAUUUAUAUAUGGUACAUGAUGUGUUGUCAUCCUGAAGCUAUAGGGGGUAGAUUAAUAUAAUUUAUAUAUGGUACAUGAUGUGAUGCUGCAUAUAUCCUCACAUAUUGACCUGGUGAUGUAUUUAAGGCUGCAUCCCAAAUGGCACCCUAUUCCUUAUAUAGUCCACUACAUUUGACCAGGGUCAGCGGGGCCCCCAAAAAAGUGCACUAUAAAGGCAAUAGUGGUAUUUGGGGCGCUACCUAAGUGUCUGAGUUCAUCUGAGCAUUGUUAGGUUGCUCCUUACUGCGUUCACCACUCAUAGGGUCAAAUGGGGACACUUGUGCAACUCUCUGAUAAAUAUGAAUGCGUCUUUUGAAUUGAAAUUCGAGUCUUUCCUCAACUACAGGAUUAGUCUCAGUUCAUCUGAGGAUGCUGGGUUCUCCUUGCUUGCCAGCUAUAUGGGUGAAUGAGGACCAAUCUUAAUAUGGGAUAUGACUUAGCACCUAACUCAGACACUUGGAUGAAUGAGGACCAAUCCUAAUAUGGGAUAUGACUUAGCACCUAACUCAGACACUUGGAUGAAUGAGGACCAAUCUUAAUAUGGGAUAUGACUUAGCACCUAACUCAGACACUUGGAUGAAUGAGGACCAAUCUUAAUAUGGGAUAUGACUUAGCACCUAACUCAGACACUUGGAUGAAUGAGGACCAAUCUUAAUAUGGGAUAUGACUUAGCACCUAACUCAGACACUUGGAUGAAUGAGGACCAAUCUUAAUAUGGGAUAUGACUUAGCACCUAACUCAGACACUUGGAUGAAUGAGGACCAAUCUUAAUAUGGGAUAUGACUUAGCACCUAACUCAGACACUUGCACAACUCUGUCAUGAAUAUUAACAGGAAUUGAGAGGGAAUUGUGAGACUUUCCUCAGGUUGUGAUUAGUCUCAGAACCCCUCGGUUACCAUAGCAGGUGGCUAUGACUGAGAAUACGUCUCAAACGGCACCCUAUUCCCUAUAGGGCCCUGGUAAAAAAAAAAGUAGUGCCCUAUAUAGGGAAUAGUGUGCCUAGGGGGUAGAUGGCAUCAGCAGACUGUCUGGUGUUGCUAUGGCUGCCAGUCACAUACCCAGUCUCUGCCCACUCUAGAGGACCCACACCAGCCAGACAGACGGACACAGCAGGGGAACUCCUUUGAUCUGUAAUUACAACCAGACUGCACAAGUCAUCACGGACUGACUCAUUUAUGCAUUCUCUUUUUCAUUUUCUUUGUCACUUUCUCUCUUGUUCUCCAUGGUUCUUUCUCACUCUUCUCUUAUGUAUGUCCCUCUCGUUCUCUCUCCUCUCUCGUUCCCUCUUCUCGUUUUCUCUCGCUCUUCUGCUGACAGUCUAUUGCAAAGCUUUUUAUUGCCUUUGUUUAUCCAGGAAGUGCCAUAAUGAAUAGAGAAUUUGUGGUAAUAAUAAAAAGGUAGUGAUGAU